Molecule: ribosomal RNA, 431 nt
Filed under: uncultured bacterium
Lineage: Bacteria
Description: partial 16S ribosomal RNA
Rfam family: Bacterial small subunit ribosomal RNA
Source: RNAcentral
AGCGAACGCUGGCGGCAGGCUUAACACAUGCAAGUCGAGCGCCCCGCAAGGGGAGCGGCAGACGGGAGAGUAACACGUGGGAACAUACCUUUUGGUUCGGAACAACUGAGGGAAACCUCAGCUAAUACCGGAUAAGCCCUUACGGGGAAAGAUUUAUCGCCGAAAGGUUGGCCCGCGUCUGAUUAGCUAGUUGGUGAGGUAACGGCUCACCAAGGCGACGAUCAGUAGCUGGUCUGAGAGGAUGAUCAGCCUCACUGGGACUGAGACACGGCCCAGACUCCUACGGGAGGCAGCAGUGGGGAAUAUUGGACAAUGGGGGCAACCCUGAUCCAGCCAUGCCGCGUGAGUGAUGAAGGCCUUAGGGUUGUAAAGCUCUUUUGCCCGGGAAGAUAAUGACGGUACCGGGAGAAUAAGCCCCGGCUAACUUCGUG